RNAcentral lists this ribosomal RNA (439 nucleotides) under uncultured bacterium. RNAcentral describes it as "partial 16S ribosomal RNA". It matches the Rfam family "Bacterial small subunit ribosomal RNA", at positions 338 to 795 of the family's 1533-position model. The record is from RNAcentral.
CCUACGGGUGGCAGCAGUAGGGAAUAUUGCACAAUGGGGGCAAGCCUGAUGCAGCGAUGCCGCGUGUGUGAAGAAGUAUUUCGGUAUGUAAAGCACUUUCAGCAGGGAAGAAAUGACUGUACUUGAUUAAGAAGCUCCGGCUAACUACGUGCCAGCAGCCGCGGGAAUACGUAGGGGGCAAGCGUUAUCCGGAUUUACUGGGUGUAAAGGUAGCGUAGACGGCAGCGCAAGUCUGAAGUGAAAUCCCAGGGCUUAACCAGGGAACUGCUUCGGAAACUGCGCAGCUGGAGUGCAGGAGAGGGAAGCAGAAUUCCUGGUGUAGCGGUGAAAUGCGUAGAUAUUAGGAGGAACACCAGUGGCGAAGGCGGCUUCCUGGACUGUAACUGACGUUGAGGCUCGAAAGCGUGGGGAGCAAACAGGAUUAGAUACCCCAGUAGUC